GACGAACCGUGCGAACGUUGUUCGGAAUCACUGGGCUUAAAGGGCGCGUAGGCGGCUUGCCAAGUCGGGGGUGAAAUCCGGCAGCUUAACUGUCGAAGUGCCUUCGAUACUGGCGAGCUCGAGGGAGGUAGGGGUCUGUGGAACUGCUGGUGGAGCGGUGAAAUGCAUUGAGAUCGGAAAGAACACCAACGGCGAAAGCACUCUGCUGGGCCGACACUGACACUGAGAGACGAAAGCUAGGGGAGCAAAUGGG
This 253-nucleotide ribosomal RNA is filed under the name uncultured bacterium. RNAcentral describes it as "partial 16S ribosomal RNA". It matches the Rfam family "Bacterial small subunit ribosomal RNA", at positions 524 to 776 of the family's 1533-position model. The record is from RNAcentral.